UCCCUGGUAGUCUAGUGGUUAAGACUCCACUCUUCCACUGCAGGAGUCAAGGGUUCAAUCCCCGGUCAGGGAA
This 73-nucleotide transfer RNA is filed under the name Ovis aries (sheep). It matches the Rfam family "tRNA". From Rfam's summary of the family: Transfer RNA (tRNA) molecules are approximately 80 nucleotides in length. Their secondary structure includes four short double-helical elements and three loops (D, anti-codon, and T loops). Lineage: Eukaryota; Metazoa; Chordata; Mammalia; Artiodactyla; Bovidae. The record is from Rfam by way of RNAcentral.